RNAcentral lists this long non-coding RNA (211 nucleotides) under Gossypium raimondii (Peruvian cotton). RNAcentral's name for it is "long non-coding RNA (GRAI_LNC007456)". The record is from RNAcentral. Lineage: Eukaryota; Viridiplantae; Streptophyta; Magnoliopsida; Malvales; Malvaceae.
GGGGACGAGGAGAAGGAUUUUGGGGAAGAUGAUUGAACCUCUAAAUUUUGUGGAUAAGAAUUUUUUUAAUUUGGGAUAAUUUUUAAUUUUUUAGGAGAAGGAUUAACAGUAAAUUUUUGUUUGUUUGCUUUUGUUAUUUUAGAAUUUUCUAUGUAGGAACCUCACAUGAAGAAACACAACAAUCCUGAACUUUCGACGAUCAAAGGAGAAG